Non-coding RNA from Lactuca sativa (garden lettuce), 2191 nucleotides. The record is from RefSeq and is a predicted model, not a curated record. Lineage: Eukaryota; Viridiplantae; Streptophyta; Magnoliopsida; Asterales; Asteraceae.
GUGCCCAUGUUCGUUUUAUGGUCGCGCAAAAAUAGAGAGGUACAAACUCGAACACAGGCAGAUGAGAUGGAAGGCACCUAGUUAAUGAGGAAUCGGAAGCAAAUCAGUUGGAGAAGGUUCGAUCCUCGUCUGAUCGGUGAAGGGUGUACGAAAUCAGGUGAGGGGUCCGAUGGGGAGUCCCAGAUUGUCGAUCGGUGGUUGAGGAAUCGCGAGAGGAGAUAUCGACCCCCGCUGCUUCUGUUUGCUUCACCGCCGGCGGGAAUGAAGAGAGGGGAACGGUGGGCAGUGACAAUGGGUGUUCGAUGGGCGAAAAUCGCGAGGAGGAAGGCACCUUCGAUUGGGGGCUGUUCGAUCCUCAUCUGAUCGAUUGUAAAGGAACGGAAACAGAAGAAGUGGAGGGUUGGAUCCUUGUUUGACCAAGAGCAGAAAACGAAAAUAGAAAGACGAUGUGCUUGACUGGUUCGAGAAAAAGAAACAUGAAAGUGAUUUGGUUCGACGGUGGUUAUCAGUGGGGCGGCUUAUUUCCAUCGAACCUUCUUAGGUUUCUUCCUCAUCUCUGGCAGCAAGAACACGAAGGGACAACAGUGGCAGUUCCGAUCCAUAAAAGGUAUACCCGAGAACAAGAACAGUUCUUGUGUUGUUGACAGGAAUCGGUAUAGGGAAAAGGAUGUUUGGGUUUGAUUGUUUGACAGGAAAGAAGGUAAAAUGGUGGUAGGGUGGUGACAGUGCAAGGUGGUGUUGGGGUUUUAGCAACCACCGAUUGCUGCUGUGAAUUUGAUGGGAAGGAAGAAUCCAUUUGUUGUUGCUGGAAAUGAAGAUGCAAGCAGAUAUAAAGGAUCGAUCAACUUUACUGUAAGGGUUUAAUUUUUGUUUAAUUGUUUGUGAAUCAGUACUUGAUGAGUAGAAGCAAUGCCAUGGGUUUUCCCUUAACUGUGUGUGAGUUGUAAUACAGGUGAAAGAAAAACGUAGGAAGGAAGUAAAAAUAAUGGAGUGCAAGUUUUUUUUGAGUUUUUCUUUGUAUAAAAUGAAACUUGGAAGAAGGCGGCUGAUUAAUCGGCGCUUGGCGGACUCUAACUGCUUACGAAUAGCUGUUAUUGGGUAAGCUAGUCGGUCUUGGUCAAUAUCGGUAAAAGACGGUCCAAAUUGGACUAAUUCGUCCCAAAUCGGACCAAAAUGACUUCAACCCACUAGCUCAAAGGAGCAAACCCACCCAAAAUAUAGUUGGGUCGGGUUUUUUUAGCCCACCUAGUUGGGUUUGAAUUUUUGAAGGAACUAACUCUCCUUUUAUAAGAUAUGUGCGCCUUCGUCUAUUGUCCCACCAACGAUGAGGGAUACAAACACGAAAUUUCCUUCUUCACUGGAAACAUGAGCGAUGUGGGAUGCAAACCCAAAACUUCCUUCUUCACAACUCCAUCGAACACUCUCUACACCACCAUCCUUCUUCACUGGAAACACGAAACUUCCCCAUUAUUAGGUCGAGAUGAAAUUCGUCAAUUUAGAAUCUGGGUUCAGGUCGAGAUGAAACUUCCUUAGGAUCUGUCGAACAAUCACCUUGAAGACGAUGAUCGUCGGCCCCAACACUGUCGACAUGAUUCCUAACUAUGGCCGUUCAAUGACUCUCUGCCCCUUCCACCCUAUUGGAGAUGUAUUGCUUCAUAAGCAAAUCUGCUUCGUAGGUAAGCCAUUUCUUACAAAUUGGUUUCAUGUUUCUUACUUCUACACAUAGCCUGUUAGCAAAUCUGAUUCACACUUCACUAUGGUCGUUCAAUCUUAGUUUCAUGUUUCUUACUUCUUCAAUCUUGACACACGUUGGUUUUAUGUGUGAAUGGUGGUUUAUAUGAUUAGGAAAUCGCUUACUUAGUGUAUGAAACCAUCCGUCCACCAAGUGUUUGAUCAAUUGCCUGAGUGAAUCUUGUAGUCUUGAUUAUCAAAGUGAGGACAUAAGAAUGGAUUGGAUAUGAACUCACAAUGAAAGUGUUAAUGUUGAUAAGGUGCAACAACAUGUUGAUAAGGUAAAAUCAUGUCUCCCAAGAAUGGGUACUUCCUGUUUUCAUUUGAUAACUUAGAUCCAAAUGCAGUAGUUGGUUAUUUAAAUGUGAUGUAUUAAGGAUCAAAAGGGUUUUUUGUAAUCAUGGUUUGUUGUUAUAAUGUGAUCUUUAUUAGGUUUUUAAUAAAUUUUUUAUUGAUAUAA